RNAcentral lists this ribosomal RNA (253 nucleotides) under uncultured bacterium. Its description in RNAcentral is "partial 16S ribosomal RNA". It matches the Rfam family "Bacterial small subunit ribosomal RNA", at positions 524 to 776 of the family's 1533-position model. The record is from RNAcentral.
UACAGGGGGGGCAAGCGUUGUUCGGAAUUACUGGGCGUAAAGGGCUUGUAGGUGGCCAACUAAGUCACACGUGAAAUCCCCAGGCUUAACCUGGGAACUGCGUGUGAUACUGGAUGGCUUGAAUCCGGGAGAGGGAUGCGGAAUUCCAGGUGUAGCGGUGAAAUGCGCAGAUAUCAGGAAGAACACCCGUGGCGAAGGCGGCUCUCUGGGACGGUACUGACGCUGAGACGCGAAAGCGUGGGGAGCGAACAGG